This 99-nucleotide signal recognition particle RNA is filed under the name Betaproteobacteria bacterium. RNAcentral describes it as "signal recognition particle sRNA small type". It matches the Rfam family "Bacterial small signal recognition particle RNA". From Rfam's summary of the family: The signal recognition particle (SRP) is a universally conserved ribonucleoprotein involved in the co-translational targeting of proteins to membranes. The record is from RNAcentral. Lineage: Bacteria; Pseudomonadati; Pseudomonadota; Betaproteobacteria.
GGCGGGCCGCCCCGCAUUGCAUGGUGGUGAAUCUGGUCAGGUCCGGAAGGAAGCAGCCAUAGCCAAUCUCAGCAAGUGCCGGGGGUCCGGCUCGCCACC